This 679-nucleotide ribosomal RNA is filed under the name uncultured bacterium. RNAcentral's name for it is "bacterial SSU rRNA". It matches the Rfam family "Bacterial small subunit ribosomal RNA", at positions 123 to 788 of the family's 1533-position model. The record is from RNAcentral.
AACCUGCCCCUAAGUCUGGGAUACCAUUUGGAAACAGGUGCUAAUACCGGAUAAUAAAGCGGAUCGCAUGAUCAGCUUUUGAAAGGCGGCGUAAGCUGUCGCUAAGGGAUGGCCCCGCGGUGCAUUAGCUAGUUGGUAAGGUAACGGCUUACCAAGGCGACGAUGCAUAGCCGAGUUGAGAGACUGAUCGGCCACAUUGGGACUGAGACACGGCCCAAACUCCUACGGGAGGCAGCAGUAGGGAAUCUUCCACAAUGGACGCAAGUCUGAUGGAGCAACGCCGCGUGAGUGAAGAAGGUUUUCGGAUCGUAAAGCUCUGUUGUUGGUGAAGAAGGAUAGAGGUAGUAACUGGCCUUUAUUUGACGGUAAUCAACCAGAAAGUCACGGCUAACUACGUGCCAGCAGCCGCGGUAAUACGUAGGUGGCAAGCGUUGUCCGGAUUUAUUGGGCGUAAAGCGAGCGCAGGCGGAAAAAUAAGUCUAAUGUGAAAGCCCUCGGCUUAACCGAGGAACUGCAUCGGAAACUGUUUUUCUUGAGUGCAGAAGAGGAGAGUGGAACUCCAUGUGUAGCGGUGGAAUGCGUAGAUAUAUGGAAGAACACCAGUGGCGAAGGCGGCUCUCUGGUCUGCAACUGACGCUGAGGCUCGAAAGCAUGGGUAGCGAACAGGAUUAGAUACCCU